GCCUCUUUAGCUCAGUGGUGUAAGCAUCCCCAGCCAACUAUUAGCUAAAGAAAUCAUGUCUAACAAUCAAGCAGAGAGCGAGAGAUUGCAGUUUAUACAACUAUCUCUAGGUCAUUAGUUCGAUCCUGAUAGGAGGCU
Molecule: non-coding RNA, 138 nt
Organism: Tricladium varicosporioides
Lineage: Eukaryota; Fungi; Ascomycota; Leotiomycetes; Helotiales; Tricladiaceae
Source: the annotation of a GenBank genome assembly